Molecule: transfer RNA, 72 nt
Filed under: Ovis aries (sheep)
Lineage: Eukaryota; Metazoa; Chordata; Mammalia; Artiodactyla; Bovidae
Rfam family: tRNA
About the family: Transfer RNA (tRNA) molecules are approximately 80 nucleotides in length. Their secondary structure includes four short double-helical elements and three loops (D, anti-codon, and T loops).
Source: Rfam by way of RNAcentral
UCCCUGGUAGCUCAGAGGUUAAAGCGUCUGCCUGCAAUGCGGGAGACCUGGGUUCUAUCCCUAGGUUGGGAA